Dreissena polymorpha is the source of this 445-nucleotide long non-coding RNA. RefSeq lists it as uncharacterized. The transcript has 3 exons. Lineage: Eukaryota; Metazoa; Mollusca; Bivalvia; Myida; Dreissenidae. The record is from RefSeq and is a predicted model, not a curated record.
GGGUGAUUAAUGUUUGAAAACUGUUCAUGAAGUAUGUACUGCUUAAAUUAAAAUAAUAAUUUGCGAAGCUUUAACGCAAACACCGCAAUGCUUGUAAACAUAGUUUUUAUUGUUGUGACUUUAGCGAAAUAUGCAGAAUGUGCCUGUGUAAGCUGGAGCAGUUGUUCGCACAGCUGCGGUGGUGGUGUGAAAGGAAUGACGUGCUCGUUUGGUACUUUUAUAGCUGAGAUACACUAUGCUUUUUGCAACGAGUUUUGCUACAAUGGCGGGAUUUACAAAUCGAGUUGUUCCUGUCCCAUCUGGAGGACUGGAGAGUGCUGUGAAGCUUGCCAGCAUAUUUCAAUCCAGCACUGUGUGCAAGGACAACAAGAAUGUGGUGGCAGUCCAGACGGGAUACAGUGUACACAGUGUAAUCUCCCUUACCGCUCAGCAGGUUACAACAAGG